RNAcentral lists this ribosomal RNA (543 nucleotides) under uncultured bacterium. Its description in RNAcentral is "partial 16S ribosomal RNA". It matches the Rfam family "Bacterial small subunit ribosomal RNA", at positions 355 to 889 of the family's 1533-position model. The record is from RNAcentral.
UGGGGAAUAUUGCACAAUGGGCGCAAGCCUGAUGCAGCCAUGCCGCGUGUGUGAAGAAGGCCUUCGGGUUGUAAAGCACUUUCAGCGAGGAGGAAGGUGGUGAACUUAAUACGUUCAUCAAUUGACGUUACUCGCAGAAGAAGCACCGGCUAACUCCGUGCCAGCAGCCGCGGUAAUACGGAGGGUGCAAGCGUUAAUCGGAAUUACUGGGCGUAAAGCGCACGCAGGCGGUUUGUUAAGUCAGAUGUGAAAUCCCCGGGCUCAACCUGGGAACUGCAUUUGAAACUGGCAAGCUAGAGUCUCGUAGAGGGGGGUAGAAUUCCAGGUGUAGCGGUGAAAUGCGUAGAGAUCUGGAGGAAUACCGGUGGCGAAGGCGGCCCCCUGGACGAAGACUGACGCUCAGGUGCGAAAGCGUGGGGCAGCAAACAGGAUUAGAUACCCUGGUAGUCCACGCUGUAAACGAUGUCGAUUUGGAGGUUGUGCCCUUGAGGCGUGGCUUCCGGAGCUAACGCGUUAAAUCGACCGCCUGGGGAGUACGGCCGC